UACGAAGGGGACUAGCGUUGUUCGGAAUUACUGGGCGUAAAGGGCUCGUAGGCGGUUUGUCGCGUCGGGAGUGAAAACACCGGGCUUAACUCGGUGCUUGCUUUCGAUACGGGCAGACUAGAGGUAUGCAGGGGAGAACGGAAUUCCUGGUGUAGCGGUGAAAUGCGCAGAUAUCAGGAGGAACACCGGUGGCGAAGGCGGUGGUCUGGGCCGGAACUGACGCUGAGGAGCGAAAGCCAGGGGAGCGAAAGGG
This 253-nucleotide ribosomal RNA is filed under the name uncultured bacterium. RNAcentral describes it as "partial 16S ribosomal RNA". It matches the Rfam family "Bacterial small subunit ribosomal RNA", at positions 524 to 776 of the family's 1533-position model. The record is from RNAcentral.